GAUGAACGCUGGCGGCGUGCCUAAUACAUGCCAGUCGAGCGAACGGACGAGAAGCUUGCUUCUCUGAUGUUAGCGGCGGACGGGUGAGUAACACGUGGAUAACCUACCUAUAAGACUGGGAUAACUUCGGGAAACCGGAGCUAAUACCGGAUGAUAUUUUGAACCGCAUGGUUCAAAAGUGAAAGACGGUCUUGCUGUCACUUAUAGAUGGAUCCGCGCUGCAUUAGCUAGUUGGUAAGGUAACGGCUUACCAAGGCAACGAUGCAUAGCCGACCUGAGAGGGUGGUCGGCCACACUGGAACUGCGACACGGUCCAGACUCCUACGGGAGGCAGCAGUAGGGAAUCUUCCGCAAUGGGCGAAAGCCUGACGGAGCAACGCCGCGUGAGUGAUGAAGGUCUUCGGAUCGUAAAACUCUGUUAUUAGGGAAGAACAUAUGUGUAAGUAACUGUGCACAUCUUGACGGUACCUAAUCAGAAAGCCACGGCUAACUACGUG
This 497-nucleotide ribosomal RNA is filed under the name uncultured bacterium. RNAcentral's name for it is "partial 16S ribosomal RNA". It matches the Rfam family "Bacterial small subunit ribosomal RNA", at positions 28 to 507 of the family's 1533-position model. The record is from RNAcentral.